GUCUGUAGCCAUGCCACCUUGAACAAGCCCAAUUCUGUCUGAUAUUGGAAGCUAAGCAGGGUCGGGCCUGGUUAGUACUUGGAUGGGAGACCACCUAGGAAGAUCAGGUGCUGUAGGCG
Molecule: ribosomal RNA, 119 nt
Filed under: Pteropus alecto (black flying fox)
Lineage: Eukaryota; Metazoa; Chordata; Mammalia; Chiroptera; Pteropodidae
Source: RNAcentral